CUAUGUACCACUGGUCACAAUUCAUGUCAGUGUGAAUGUCUAUGUACCACAGGUCACAAUUCAUGUCAACAUGAAGGUCUAUGACUACCACAGGUCACAAUUCAUGUCAAUGUGAAGGUCUAUGUACCACUGGUCACAACUCAUAUCAAUGUGAAGGUCCAUUUAAAUUGUACAUUUACCUUUGGUCAAAAUUUAUGUAAAUGAAGGUCUACAUACCUGUCAUAUGACUGGUCAAAAUUUAAUGUCAUCAAAAAUGUCUAUAUGUACCUCUGCCAACUAUUCAUGUCAGCAUAAAAGUUUAUGCACCUUAAACUGAUCAAAGUAAUUAAUGUCAAUAUGAAAGCUGAUCUGCCAUGCAUUCAGGUCAGCAUAAAAGUCUAUGUAACUCUUGGUAAAGUUUGUGUCAUCAUGGAGUUCUAUGCAACAAUGGUCACUAUUAGAGGUGCGCCAUGACAAAUCCAACAUAGUGUGUUUCGGAUGCGCAGGCUGGUCUGGAUCCAUGCUGGUUGCAAACGCACUAUGUUGGUUUUGUCAUGGCGUGGCUUAUUUAUGUCAUCAUGAACGUUUAUUUACCAUUUGUAGCAUGAAAGUCUAUGAAAUGACAAUUUAUGUCAGUAAGGAAGUCUGUGUAAUGUUAAGCAACAUUUUUAUGUGAGCUUGAAGGAUUAUAAAAGACUUAACCAAAUGUAUUAAGUAUUUCAGUAUGUAGAACUGUGUACUUCUGGUCACUAUAUCUAUGUCAAUAUAAAUGCCUAUGUACCAAUAUUCUUGCCACAAUUAGAGUUCAUUUCUAAUUACUUUCUGGUUAAGGUCGUUGACUUCAAACCACUUGCCCCUCACCGCUGUGGGUUGGAAUCCCGACAGGGACUUUGGAUUAUUUCAUGUGAGGAAGCUAUCCAGCUAGCUUACGGAAUGUCGAUGGUUCUACUCAGGUACCCGUUCGUGCCUGAAAUAAUGCAUGGAAGGGCAUCUGAGGUCUUCCUCAACCAGUAUAGCUGGAACGUCGCCAUAUGACCUAUACUGUGUCAGUAUGACAUAAAACCCUAUUAAACAAACAAACAAACUUUCUUGUAUUUCUUUAAGGUUAUUUCUAAUAUUUAAUGAGAAAGCUGGCUUCAACACUAUGACAAUAUACUGUUUAUAUAAAAUUACAACAUGGUUGAAUGUAUUUCCCAAUACAAUUCCAAUAUUGUGUAAACACUACUCUUUCAUUGUAUGAAUAUUUUUGCAUUGUUGAGAUCUGAUAGGAGAUUGCUUUGCUGUAGAAAGGAUUUUAUAAGUAAGCCUUUGUGAAUAUUAUAGGAAGCCUUUGUGAAUAUUGUAUAUGGUGUUGUCAUGGUUAUAGAUAUAACAAUAAAUGAAGUCACAUAUGAAUAAGAAUGGUUGUAACUUUUAUAAAGGCCAGUUAUAACCCUCUUGUGAUCAAAUAUUGAAUAUGUUUCUUUGAUGAAGAUCAUGAAUAAAUGAUGUAGAUCAUGAGUAAAUGAUGUAAAUCAUUAGUAGAUGAUGUAGAUCUUGAGUAAAUAAUGUAGAUCAUGAGUAUAUGAGGUAGAUCAUGAAUUGAUGAUGUAGAUCAUGAGUAAAUGAUGUAGAUCAUGAGUAGAUGAUGUAGAUCAUGAGUAAAUGAUGUAGAUCAUUAGUAGAUGAUGUAGAUCAUGAGUAGAUGAUGUAGAUCAUGAGUAUAUGAUGUAGAUCAUAAAUUGAUGAUGUAGAUCAUGAGUAAAUGAUGUAGAUCAUGAGUAGAUGAUGUCGAUCAUGAGUAGAUGAUGUAGAUCUUAGAUGAUGUAGAUCAUGAGUAGAUGAUGUAGAUCACGAAUAUAUGAUGUCAAGCAGAACAUGAAUGAUACAGAAAAGGAAUUAGUCAUAGAACAUGAAUAAGCUAUAUCAAUCACUGUUCAAUCCAUUGAAUAAAUGACAUAGAGCAUUAAUGAUGGUAACUUGAAUGAAGGAUAUAGAAUUUGCAUGAAUGACAAAGAAUAUGAAUUAAUGUUGAGGAAUGUAAGUGAGUGAUAUAUAACAUGAAUAAGUGAUAUUUAGCUUAAAUACAACUUAAAUGAGUGAUAUUAAACUUAAAUAUACUAGUAACUUAAGUGAAUGUAUAAAACAUGAAUAAGUGGUAUUUAACUUAAAUUCGUACAACUUAAAUGAGUGACAUUCAACUUAAAUAUAACUUAAAUGAGUUAGUGAUAUACAAGGUGAAUGAGUGAUAUACUCGUAUAACAUGUAGGAUUGAUACAUAACUUGACUGAGUGAUAUAUAACAUGAAUAAGUGAUAUAUAACAUGAAUGAGUGAUAUAUAUCAUGACUGAGUGAAAUAUUACAUGAAUAAGUUAUACAUGUAUAUAACAUGAAGUAGUGAUAUAUAAUAUAAAGGAGUGAUAUAUAACAUGAAUGAGUGAUAUAUACCAUGAAGGAGUGAUAUAUAACAUGACAGAGUGAAUAUAUUAAACAACAAGAAUGAGUGACAUUGAACUUGAACAAGUGACAUUGACAUACAAAAUGAAUUAAUGACAAAUAAUAUAGAUGAGUCUGACAUACCAACAAAUGAGUAAUCAACAUGAUUGAGUGACAUUCAACUAGAACACGUGGCAGAGUGAGUGAUAUACAACAUGGAUGAAUGAUAAUGAACACAAAUGAGUGAUAUUGAACUUGAAUUUUUGAGGAAGAGCAUGAUUGGUUGUUACAGGUUAUUGAUAAACUAUGUUGGUGUAUAUGAAUCAUUUUAUCAUGGGACAUAU
Long non-coding RNA from Ruditapes philippinarum (Manila clam), 2738 nucleotides. RefSeq lists it as uncharacterized. The transcript has 2 exons. The record is from RefSeq and is a predicted model, not a curated record. Lineage: Eukaryota; Metazoa; Mollusca; Bivalvia; Venerida; Veneridae.